UAUGCAUAAGGACAGGGCACGACCGCAGAGGGACGGCUCCAUCGAUCUGCCUCCAGAGGCGUACAUGGGAGGGGCUGCGUCGAGCCGCCGUGUCCAUCUCGCCGCCCAGCACCUCAUCCCCUCUGGCCGCCCAGAUCCCCUCGCCAUCUUCCAAGUCCAGCCCAACCACGACACGGCCGAUGUCAAGCGGGCCUCACCGUUAUGGUCAUCUUGGCGCCGCUGGGUUCUCCGCGCCGCCGAUGCCUAGGCCGACCCAACGUGCGCCGCCCGCACCCCGCGUGCAACGGCCGGGGGCUCCGCCGCCCACGAUAGCGAGCACGCUCCAGCCUGACUCACCAUGCGCCAUCUUCCCUGACGCCCUGAGGGUGGCCACCCCAGGACCUACCUGGCGGACGAGGUUGGGACGGGUCCAAGGUUCUUCGCCGAAGUCCAUGGCUUCACGAGCCCAACAACCAGAAGCAGGCAUCCAUGGAGGGAUCCUCGAAACACCACCCGAUGCUCCCUCCCUCUUCUUUCACUUCUCUAGCUAGCUGAAGGAAGGGCUCGAGCCGAGAGCGCUGCCUCCGUCGGUCUCUGGCUCCCCAGCCGGUCUCCGCUAUCCGGUCCUCGCAGGCCCUCUUCCCCUCCUCCGUUCCUUAACAAAAACAUUAAGUACUUCUUGCCUCUCCAUUCUCUUUCCUACAAUUCAAUUAACUGAGUCAGAAACAUAUUACGGGAUAUUGCCGGUUGAUCGAUUGCUUUAAUUAGUUGUUGGUUAGUAAGUCUGCCGCGUGUACACGAGUACGAGCAAUGGAUGUUUGUGAAGGCUAUGAGAUACUGGAAAUCAAGGAGCUAAUUGUUUGGGUCACUUGACUGAAUUGUAACUGCACCAUUUGAGGCGAUUUUGCCCUGGUUUUGCUGGGUGGUAAGGUGGUUUAUGGGAGUUGCUGAGUUGGUGGAAGAUUGGGGCAUUUGCAUAUGGUUGGUACUGAGGAGGACUGUGCUGCUGGAGUGGGAAGCAGGAGAGCAACCGUUGGGAUCUUGGAUUUUUUUUCCCCGAGCAGAAUGUGGACUUACUACCUUUAUAUUGAAGAUUCAACAGUUGGAAGCUGAUGUAACACGUCAGAAGUUCUCCACUCCUGCAUAAAUGGACUGCAUCAUCAACCUGCACUGUUAAGGUGAAGUUGAAGAAAAGGUAAGAGAACACUGAUUCUUCAGGAAAAACUGGAUAUGGAGCUGCAAGAUCUAAAUGAAGGACUUCGGGAUGGUACUAUUGUAAUUGUUCAUAUGCGAAUUUACAACUUGUCUGGCUAGACCUAUGUUCUGAAUAAUCUUCAUUCCUCCAUCCAUUGUAACUUCAUGUUCAAAGGUAACCACAACUGACAUAUAUGAUUCUAAUAGUCAAAAUUGUGCUCUGUUAUUCUGCUCUUUGUUCCAUCUGGACAUUUAAUUAUACCCUUUCAAAUUUAAAUUACUGAACGCGGAGAU
Triticum dicoccoides is the source of this 1467-nucleotide long non-coding RNA. RefSeq lists it as uncharacterized. The record is from RefSeq and is a predicted model, not a curated record. The transcript is spliced from 3 exons. NCBI's taxonomy places the organism in Eukaryota, Viridiplantae, Streptophyta, Magnoliopsida, Poales, Poaceae.